GUCUUAGCUCAGUGGCAGAGCACUGGUCUUGUAAACCAGGGG
Molecule: transfer RNA, 42 nt
Filed under: Diaphanoeca grandis
Lineage: Eukaryota; Choanoflagellata; Acanthoecida; Stephanoecidae
Description: partial tRNA
Source: RNAcentral